This is a long non-coding RNA of Varroa destructor (honeybee mite), 1342 nucleotides long. The record is from RefSeq and is a predicted model, not a curated record. NCBI's taxonomy places the organism in Eukaryota, Metazoa, Arthropoda, Arachnida, Mesostigmata, Varroidae.
GAAAAUAUCUCGAAGCUAGAAUGCAGCUUGGAUCGAACAAGUCACAUCGACUCCUUCAGAUGGCGGACGAAGAUCUAGAGAGCAAAAUCGACUGCACGACUGAAGGAAGGAUGUAGAUCUGCAUGCUUCAUGUGAAAUUGAAACAGUUGGGCUACCUUCGUUCUUCUUAUCAUUUACCCCCUAUAGUUACUUCUGCUGCAGCCGGUUAAGUUACAAACAAAACGAUAAGGUGGCGUCGUUUAAGCAACGCUAUCACCCUGUUGUCCGCAUGAUCUCGUUCGACAAACGCGACAGGCGGACGCCCAGAGACUCAACAGCCGACUGGUAACACGCCAUGUUAGGCGUGUCUGUGAAGACACAAUAAGUUGUCCCUUGCUAAGUUGAAUGCAAAUAAUACAGAGCCGCCUGCGAAUUUGUGAGCAUCACCAAGUCGGCUGUGUUUGCAACUGCGACAGGCAGGAAAAGGUAAAGGAGAACAAAUCGUAGCAGUAGAUGAUGAAGACGAAAACAACUUUCAGGCUUCUUGAGCCUAACGUCCUGUAUCCGCUCCCCUCUAUAUUCGACCGCUGAGUGCCGUCGGUCAUUGCAAGUCGCAUCGCCAUGUGUCGUAUAUAGGCAGAUACGCGUGAAACAAUUUUACAGACAACUGCCAUUAUAUACAUACAAUUUACGUUGACCACUGAUGAUUAAGGCUCUACUCGGAGAUAAAGAAGAGAUGAAAACUGUUGAUGUGUGUGCAAUACAGUUUCUACGAGAUUGUGCCAACGACGAGGGAAGGCAGUAGAAGUCCGAAGUACCAAAUCAGUAUUCGUUCGAAGGCGGGUGUACGUCUAUAUUCGACAACAAGUCUAUGGUUAUGGUGUGCAAAGGCCAAGCGUCACCUCAUUAACGCAUUUAUACAAAUGCUUCUCAAUGCGACGUGGACAGAGACGACCGAGAGAAGUUAUUCGACGGGAAAGAAGCGUAUUCAGUACAACGGAAAUACCCUAACUCCGCUCAGACCCUGCAUCAAAGUUGUUACUAUGCAUUGGCAAUCAUGUUUCUGCUGAUGCAUUGUGAUACACUGCCACUUGUCAACUAACGUUUCCACUGACACGCGGCGUACCAUCAACCGCGUCUGCUUUGAUGGCAACAAAGGACCAGCUCAUAGUGCGCUAACAGUUGGGGCAGGGAGAGGAGACAAAAUAUAAUGACUGUACCCCGGCCGAAAAAACAGACCUGCGAUUUUGGUCGGUACCCUGACCAUUUUGAAAACUCGAACUUGCUCUGUCAGGGUCUGUGCUUUUGCAUACAUGCACCGGACGGACGAGUAUAAUAUUAAACCUUCAUAUGCCCAAUUGUG